GACGAACGCUGGCGGCGUGCUUAACACAUGCAAGUCGAACGGAAAGGCCCUGCUUGCAGGGUACUCGAGUGGCGAACGGGUGAGUAACACGUGGGGGAUCUGCCCUGCACUUCGGGAUAAGCCUGGGAAACUGGGUCUAAUACCGGAUAGGAGCCAUUUUGAGUGUGGUGGUUGGAGAGUUUUUUCGGUGUAGGAUGAGCUCGCGGCCUAUCAGCUUGUUGGUGGGGUAAUGGUCUACCCAGGCGGCGACGGGUAGCCGGCCUGAGAGGGUGGACGGCCACAGUGGGACUGAGAUACGGCCCAGACUCCGACGGGAGGCAGCAGUGGGGAAGAGUGCAAAAUGGGCGCAAGCGUGAUGCAGCGACGCCGCGUGGGGGAUGACGGCGUUCGGGUUGUAAACUCAUUUCGCUAGGGACGAAGCUUUUUGUGACGGUACCUAGAGAAGAAGCACCGGCUAACUACGUG
This 465-nucleotide ribosomal RNA is filed under the name uncultured bacterium. RNAcentral describes it as "partial 16S ribosomal RNA". It matches the Rfam family "Bacterial small subunit ribosomal RNA", at positions 28 to 507 of the family's 1533-position model. The record is from RNAcentral.